Molecule: long non-coding RNA, 480 nt
Organism: Rosa chinensis
Lineage: Eukaryota; Viridiplantae; Streptophyta; Magnoliopsida; Rosales; Rosaceae
Exons: 2
Source: RefSeq, a predicted model, not a curated record
AUUGUUGAUUAUUAGUAUAAAUAGGCUUAUGUUCACAGCCUCAAAACUCAAAGCAAAACAUGGCUAUAGACAAGAGUAUUAGUGCAAUAGUUCUACUCCUUGUUUGUGGUUCAAUCAUACUGGGAGGGAUUCCAACUGAAGCCAAAGUUUGCCCUCUAAUUUGCUAUGAUGUAGCUGCUUAUAUGACUUGCCCGUCUUCAGGAAACGAGCAUCUUUCACCACUCUGCAACUGUUGCUUAGCAUCGGAACCAGGCUGCGCCAUUUACCUGUCCGAUGGAACUCGCCUCUGUACUAGUACUUGAAUAGUUGAAUAUGAUGAUUGGGGGCAUGCAUGAUCAUGAUGCCCUAGCUUGUCUGAUACAAUAAAUAUUAUGGUCUGCCACUAGUACGUGGUUUUGAACUAUCCUAAGAAUAAGAACCAGAUCUCGGUACCUGGGUUAUGCAUUUGCUAGCUUCUACUAAUGUGAUCGAUGUUCUUUA